UGAUGCAAAUGGAGCAGUCGUGUUUUAAGGUACAGACUUUGAGUCUAUUCUAGGCAUCAAUUUUCGUAUCUUUUAAUUCGUCUGGCGCCAACAGCAACAG
This 100-nucleotide non-coding RNA is filed under the name Drosophila pseudoobscura. Lineage: Eukaryota; Metazoa; Arthropoda; Insecta; Diptera; Drosophilidae. RNAcentral also lists the same sequence under 1 other name. The record is from miRBase by way of RNAcentral.